This 131-nucleotide small nuclear RNA is filed under the name Jaculus jaculus (lesser Egyptian jerboa). RNAcentral's name for it is "U4 spliceosomal RNA (ENSJJAG00000002312.1)". The stretch from base 1 to 67 matches the Rfam family "U4 spliceosomal RNA". Rfam says of the family: U4 small nuclear RNA (U4 snRNA) is a component of the major U2-dependent spliceosome. The structure of U4 snRNA from yeast and human has been reported. The record is from RNAcentral. Lineage: Eukaryota; Metazoa; Chordata; Mammalia; Rodentia; Dipodidae.
AGCUUUGUGCAGUGGCAGUAUCGUAGCCAAUGAGGUUUAUCCGAGGCGCGAUUAUUGCUAAUUAAAUGUGAGGAGUUUUUCAUUCACUAUUCAGUACUAGAAAUGCAUUUAGGGUAAAAAUCAGGAAGUUU